Molecule: ribosomal RNA, 743 nt
Filed under: uncultured bacterium
Lineage: Bacteria
Description: bacterial SSU rRNA
Rfam family: Bacterial small subunit ribosomal RNA
Source: RNAcentral
AGCGGCGGAUGGGUGAGUAACACGUGGGGAACCUGCCCCUAAGUCUGGGAUACCAUUUGGAAACAGGUGCUAAUACCGGAUAAUAAAGCAGAUCGCAUGAUCAGCUUUUGAAAGGCGGCGUAAGCUGUCGCUAAGGGAUGGCCCCGCGGUGCAUUAGCUAGUUGGUAAGGUAACGGCUUACCAAGGCGACGAUGCAUAGCCGAGUUGAGAGACUGACCGGCCACAUUGGGACUGAGACACGGCCCAAACUCCUACGGGAGGCAGCAGUAGGGAAUCUUCCACAAUGGACGCAAGUCUGAUGGAGCAACGCCGCGUGAGUGUAGAAGGUUUUCGGAUCGUAAAGCUCUGUUGUUGGUGAAGAAGGAUAGAGGUAGUAACUGGCCUUUAUUUGACGGUAAUCAACCAGAAAGUCACGGCUAACUACGUGCCAGCAGCCGCGGUAAUACGUAGGUGGCAAGCGUUGUCCGGAUUUAUUGGGCGUAAAGCGAGCGCAGGCGGAAAAAUAAGUCUAAUGUGAAAGCCCUCGGCUUAACCGAGGAACUGCAUCGGAAACUGUUUUUCUUGAGUGCAGAAGAGGAGAGUGGAACUCCAUGUGUAGCGGUGGAAUGCGUAGAUAUAUGGAAGAACACCAGUGGCGAACGCGGCUCUCUGGUCUGCAACUGACGCUGAGGCUCGAAAGCAUGGGUAGCGAACAGGAUUAGAUACCCUGGUAGUCCAUGCCGUAAACGAUGGGUGCUAGGUGU